GCUGAGUGUGGUGGCGGGCACCUGUAAUCCCAGCUACGUGGGAGGCUGAGGCAGGAGAAUUGCUUGAACCUGGGAGCUGGAUGUUACAGUGAGCCGAGAUGGCACCACUGCACUCCAGCCUAGGUGACACAGCAAGACUCUGUCUCAA
RNAcentral lists this non-coding RNA (148 nucleotides) under Pan paniscus (pygmy chimpanzee). The record is from Rfam by way of RNAcentral. Lineage: Eukaryota; Metazoa; Chordata; Mammalia; Primates; Hominidae. RNAcentral also lists the same sequence under 1 other name.